Molecule: long non-coding RNA, 611 nt
Organism: Oreochromis aureus
Lineage: Eukaryota; Metazoa; Chordata; Actinopteri; Cichliformes; Cichlidae
Source: Ensembl
UGGGAGGAUACACAUACAGCCACCUGAUCUUUGGCUCUGGAACUAAACUGUCUGUAACAGAUGGAAACCAGAAAAGAACGACACAGGCACCGAGAGUUCAUGCAAACACACAGCAGAGCCCCACCCGACCAGCAGGACCCAGAGUCCACGUGGAUGGGAACAGCUCCCUGCUGUGUGUGCCCCCAGCCAUGUUUCCUCCUCUGGUCCAGCUGUCUUGUAAAAGACAGAAGAAGAACGGUGGAGAAGCGGAGGAGCUGCCCCCUGCUGAUGGAGAGCAGCUGGGACUGAUCCAUCAGAACAGCACAUAUAAAUGUAACUGCUACGUGAAGCACGAGGGGGGCACAGUGGAGGCCCAAACACAACAAGAGGUUCCAGCUCCAGCAGCCUCCUGUCCUCCAGAGAGAGAGCCAGCAGACCUGCCAGCUCUGCAGCCAGCUGACUGUAAGAUCACCUGCUGCCUCUCUGCAUGGACAGCUCCAAUGUCCAAUGAGGGAGCUGGAACAAGUUUAGGGACUCAGUCUUAAAGUGUCACUAAUUGAUCAAAUCUUCAUCCAACAAGCUCUGAUAAAGCCACUGUACACUAGCUGCUCAGCACCAAACAGCAGACAGAC